UUUUGGUCAUGCUGACUUAUUUGUAAAUCUUACUUUGCUGAACAUUAUUGCUGUUUACAGUUUAUCUCUAUCUAUAAUAAUAUUCAAGAUAAUAACCAACCAGAUGCUCCGCAGGGCGUAGCUUUAUACGACCGCAGAGGUUGAACACUGAAUGGUUGGGGUAAGUAUGGACACAACAUUCAAGCUGGAUUCAGCUCUAAAUUUGGAUUGUGAUUAAAUAGUUGACACAGCAUAGGUUUCUGAUACAGAAUGAAUGUGUUCUAAUGAACUUAAAAUUUUUGUUUUCUCUUAGAGCAAUUCACUAUGCUGUUGAAUAUCAAUCCUCUCAAAACAAGAAUGUGUCCUCAGUACACGAAUGCCCCACUCGCACUGUCAUUUUCCAUGUUCAGUGGACCGUGAAAUUGGGGUAAAAACUCUAAUUUGGCAUUAAAAUUAGAAAGAUCAUAUCAUAGGGGACAUGUGUACUAAGUUUGAAGUCGAUUGGACUUAAACUUCAUCAAAAACUACCGUGACCAAAAACUUUAACCUGAAGCGGGACAGACGGACGGACGGACGAGCGGACGGACGGACGAACGAACGAACGGACGGACGCACAGACCAGAAAACAUAAUGCCCCUCUACUAUCAUAGGUGGGGCAUAAAAAUGUUUGAAGAAAUUUUCUUUUUUAUUUAUGAAAUUUCAAAUGAGAAAAAUUGAACCCAAUUUUUUUAAUCACAUCCCCCUUUCCCUUAUUCCAAAACUAAUCUCAAUUAAAAUUUCUAAUGGAGUUUGCAACAAUAACUACUCAUUUAAAU
Molecule: long non-coding RNA, 794 nt
Filed under: Mytilus galloprovincialis (Mediterranean mussel)
Lineage: Eukaryota; Metazoa; Mollusca; Bivalvia; Mytilida; Mytilidae
Source: RNAcentral